AAAUGUGGAAUGGUUGGCCUGGGUUGGCUUGGGACGAGCUGGGACGCAGGGUCGGGUUGCCAGUUCGGUCUGAAUCAUCGUAGGCCUUGGGUUAAGGCAGGUUCGUGUGGGUUCACGGCCUUGUUUAAUAAUCUUGUAUAGCUCUAGGAUCGUAUUUACAAAAUAGCUUUGAGCAACUAAGUGUCUUUUAAUGCUGUUUGCUGCAAACCCUAACCCUUUAUAUUAUAACCCCCUUGUACUCCCUUGCAUUUAUCCUGCACUUGUGGGUGUGUCUUGUUGAGUACGGUGGUUGUACUCAGUCUUGCUCAAUUUUUCCCAAACCUAGAAGAGGAGCCCCUGGAAGAUGAAGGCUUUGGUGUCUAGCUCGCGCCUGCCGUCAAGCGCCUGUGGUCGUCACCCUAGUCUUCCGCUGUUUCCCGUUUGUCUUUGUGUGUGCUGGGUCUUCGCCGCCCAUGUAAUAAAUUAACUAUUUACGCUUCCGCUUGUUAAACUCUGAACUAUAUCAACUUUUGGUGUACCUUGCCUCCUGGGACAAGGAAUAAUGCACGCACGUAAGGAACGCCCGUUGGGUUAUUUUUGGUCGUGACAAUAGUUAUGUCAAACCAGAUUGGUAUCGGCUGGGCUAUCUAAACUACUAACCAAUUAUAGUAUGAUAUAUUUAUAUAGAUUGAUUCGUCUAUAUAAGCAUGUACUAGAGUAUUAGCUAGUACAUUAUCUUCCUUGCUCUAUUUGCUCUAAAUAUUGUUCUAUCAGCUACUUUCAUAGUAUUGUCUUAAACUUCUUUAUUAAAUUUUGAUGGACAGUAUUACAGCCAAUAAGGCAUGUUUAGAGUUUAAUAUUCACUAAUUUACCUAGUCUAUAGCUAAUUUGGUAUAACUAUAUCGGCUGAGACCACCAACGAUAUGCUACCGGCCCAUCGGCCGAUCGGCUAUCGGUUAACUAAUUCUGCUUUUUGUCUUUCUUGCUGAUUGCAGGAUUAACUCAGCUAGCAUGCCCUUAACACACUCGAGGCUAGCCUUGGACCUGCACUGGAGUUAAGCAGAUCUCCCAGGCCGCAUUGUUUUUACAUCAACACUUAGUUAAUCUAACCCGAUGACUCGAUUUACUUGCAUCGGCCAAGCCUUUUGUAUGGUUUUGCUAGUAUCGGCUAAAUCGUUUAGUCAGUUUAGAUUAGCUAAGAUAUCCACCACCCUAAAAAUCAAUAAAAAGCUUGAUUGUUUAGAUUUUAUGCUUCCUUCCAUACUUAGUGCUGCAUCAAUUGAGUUUGACCUACUAAGUCGUGUUUAGAAUCAUAGCAACUAACCUUGAUUGCAAAUAGGGGAAGAAUCAGGGUUUCAGCUGAUCUUAACUGAUAUGAUUGCCUUUCUUUGUUUAAUAUCUUCAAUCUAGUUUUUCAUGUUAUAUCUGCCCUUUAUAUAAGUAUAUCACUCUAUUUAAAUAUAUCAAGCUUGUAUUCAAUUUUGGCCAGAUUAUCAUAUUUGGGAUUGAUGCUUGUUUGGUAUAUUUACUUAGAAUGAUAUUCUUAUAUAAGGUUGUAUCAGAGCAAUAGCCAAUAUUGUAUCUUUAUUAACCUAAACUCUAUAUCAUCUGCUAAGAUAUUAUUGACGAAAAAUCCGUGAUCGGCCGAUAGUGCCGGAACUGUGUUGGCGCGAACUAAGCCGACGAACACAGCGGCUUGGGAGAUCUGCUUAGCUCCAGUGCAGGUCAAAAAUAUUGAUGAGAUGUGGGCGUGCCAGUCAUUUUGAUCCUACAACUGACAAGAUAUGUAAACAAUAGAUCAAAUAGCCGAUCGACUAACAAGCCGAUGGAGCAAUUCUAGUCGAUACCGAUACCAGCCGAUGUCGAUAGGGUUUUGAGCAAUCAGCUCUAUGUACAAUUAAUGUAGAUUCUAACACUCGAGUAAAUAAUGAUAUAUAGAUAAUCGGCUGAUAAUAAUAUAUUUAAGCAACAAUAUAAUCUAAUAGAAACCAAUCGGCUAAUAAUGAUCAAGUGUUGAUCCAAAGGUUAAAGCAUACAUCGGCUGGAGGUCUGAUGUCAAUAAAUCCAAACGAUUAGAUAAACAGUAAAACCUUUGCUGCAAUCGGCUAAAUCCAACUUGUAUGUAAUCCUUAUAAGCCGAUGCAACAUCCAGAUAACUCAUCAUCUGAAACCCCGAUGAAACCCUUAUUAGCAAUCAAAAAGCAGGAUAGAAAUUAUGGUUCUAAACACGACUAGGGCUGAUGCAGUGCAAGGUAUGAAAAUAAACAUAAUAUCUAGACAACCAAGCUUUUCACUAUUUUUUAGGGUGGUGGAUACCUUAGUUAAUCUAAUCUAGCAUGAUAAUUUAGUCGAUACCAGCAUAAACCCUAAAACGAAUCUCAACCGAUAUGAUCAAAUUAAGAUGCUAAACUAGAUUAACUAAGAUAUAUGAUAACUAGCGGUCGUAGAAGAUAGAUUAGAAUAUCUAAAGCGAUGCCCUAAUCCGCCAACGCAAACCACUGAAACAAGUCAUACCUCUUGUCAGAAGAUCGAGCCGAUGCCCUAACUCAAAGCAAGAACUCGUCGAAAAAGUAGAAAGGUAAAAGGUGGCGAUGCGCUGAAGUUGUAUUGAUUGCGAAAUAGUUUACAAUGACCCCGGGUGUACAAAUUUAUACCCAUGGGUAGAUACUAGUCCUUGUUGGACAAGAAAGAAACUUUACUAAAAUAAAGAAAAUAUAAAUUCCUUAUCGGACACUAAACACACUUUCCUCAAGAUAAAAGGAAACUAACAAACUCUUCCUAAUUAAUAGAUAAACUGUCAUGGAGCAUCCUCUUUGAACUCGGUCAUUUCUAGAUAAACUUCCUUUAAUAGAUUCCUUUAAACCGAAUCUACUAAGAAUCCGACUAUUGGUGACUUGAUAACUCCCAUCGGCCGAUUCCAAGAUGCUAAAGCUGAUAGUGAAUCUAAGCCGAUGAUGACUUCGGGGCUUAUCAAAUUUUGAUGUUAACACAUGGUUACAGAUAUGAUCCGCAAGCGCACAGAUAUACCAUUGUAGCAUUUCACUUGGAAGUAUUCCAAGGUAUCGUAUUUAUUUAAUCCCAAGGGAAGAUAUGAUAAGAGAGUACUUUGCUACUAAUUUAUAUAUUACUUGUAUACAUCAAAGUCUAUGCAGGGGUUAAUUAAUUCAAGGGUAGGAUAAGGUUGACACGAAGAAUGAAGAACUAAGAUACUCUCACUAAUAUAUAUAAUCUAGGCUAAAUGGAGAAAGAAUAAGAAAAUAAUCAUUCCUAUACUUCUAGUAUACAUUCAUCUUUAGUUUACAAUCAUGUAGCCAAUACCCCCUAACUAUGCCCUCGCGGUGUUUCUAGAGACUACCCCUGAUGCCGAGUUCCUUACAACAAUCCGUUAUGACCAUCCAACCGGAAAUGAAUACGGAGGAGUACCCAUACCAGGAAAGUGUCUUUGGACUAUAUACUAACAUGGAGGAAUACCCGUACUAAGCUAUCACCAUCAGCAGCCCACCUCUACUGACCUGCAGUAUAUAACCCCAAUUAAUGAUAUCUAAUAAUCUAAGCACCACGCUUACAUUAUUAAAUACAACUCUACAUCCCCAAGAACGACAUAGAGCAAUCACUCGCAUGAACAUUAAACCCACACCAAUGCAUAUCUCAGGUAAGCUAGCUACACAAUUAUAUCGAGACAAGUAUAAAGUAAAGCCGAUACUCAGAUAAUAUAAAUUAAGUAAAAGACCGAAACUAUAUAAAGAAGAAUAUUUCAUUAACUCUAUAAGUCUUACAAAAGGAGGAAAAGCUACUAGAGCCAUACCCAAAAUCUCUUGAAGACUCGAGGACUAAAUGAACUAUUCUAUUCCUACUCCACUAGCACAAGAAUACUGAACUAAACUUGAGAGAGAGCUCUUGAUUUUCUUCUUGGAGUGUGUGAGGGAGUGGAGGAGGUGAUGGCCUUAUAUAGGCUACUGUUGGUAUUUCUUAACGACAUUACUAGAAAUAUAAUUCCCAGCAAUGGCGCAGAAAUACUUCUGGUAUAUUAUGGUUACAGAGUUCAUCUGCAAGCGCACGGAUAUACCAUUGUAGCAUUUCACCCGAGACUAUUCUAAGGGUAUCGUAUUUAUUUUAUCCCGUGGGAAGAUCAAGUAGAGAGAGCUUGACUAAUAGUUUAUAUAUAACUUGAGAUAAUCAUAUUCUAAGCAGGGAUUAAGAUAAUCCAAGGGUAGAGUGACACACAAACAUUACUACUCAUCCUCAUAAUAAAUUAUCUAAGCUAGGUGGAAAGAAAAGAGAAAGAAAAUCUAUUCCUAUACUUCUAAUAUACAUAGUAUACAUAUAUUCUAGUUAACUGAUAUACUAGCUAAUACUCUCUAUCCGAUGCUCUCCUGGUACUUCGAGAAGCCACCCCUGACUGCCGAGUUCCUUACGAUAGCCCGUCAUGACCUUACAACCGGGGCUAAAUACGGAGGAAUACCCUUCCCAGGAAAUUAACUUAGGAUUAUAUACCGGCACGGAGGAAUACCCGUACUGAGCUGUCACCAUCAGCGGCCCACCUCUCAUCCACAAUAUAUAACCCCAAAUAAUGAUACCUCAUAAUCUAGACACCACGUCUAAACUACCAGAUACUACUUUAAUAUCAUCGUCAUGACAUAGAGUAAUUGCAUAUGCAAACAUUAUACCCGCACCAAAGCAUCUCCUCCACUUUAGUGUCAUUCCCUGCAAAUACUAGUGGAAGUUUAUUAUUCUAAUACAUUUAUGCAUUGCAAGCAUCACUAGUUCUCCUCUAUUUUGGUAAUAUUGACGGUCAAAACUGAUCUAUAACGACCGUCAACAAAACCCCCCAAGCUUGGACCUUUGCUCGUCCCGAGUGAAGGACGAAAGGAAUCAAAGACUUGGUUGUUGAUCAGGAGUUGCUACUAUGCUGCAUAUCUCAAAGAUACAGGUGCAAGGUAUAUGUACUCUCUCUCAGAUUAAAUAAUUUUUGGCACGGUGGCUUACCCUUACCCCUGAUUCCCACGAGACACUGCUUUUCCUUGCCUUGGGCGGUUGAAAGAUUGAACAGCAAUUUAGAGUACCAAUCACCCGAUCUUUAUAUUCAACUCUUAUUCCGGAAGUUUUCAAAUGAUUUUGCAAAAAGAAAACCAAGUUCCUCAAAUGAUUCACUCAGUCUCUCUUAGUGUAUCAACAUGAAUUCCUCACCAAAUGUUGUCUUGUUGAUUCCUACUCUAAGGUUUUAUAUGUAGAGCUCGGUAGGGAUCAAACAUGGCAUACUUGCAUUCACAUUUAUUACUAAGUCAAAAACUUAGACUAGAGCAGAUAACUAAACAUACUCAAGAUCAAGAUCGUGCAUAAUGUGUGUGUGGUAUAUGGUGGAAUGGCACAUGAAUAAAAAAAUAAAGAAAAUGCUUCUCCUUUGCGCUUACUUUCUUCUCCCAAAAAUCCUUCUUUUAUUGAUUAGGAGAGGGCAUGGCUAUAUUAUUUUUUUUCAAUCAUGCUCAUGCUUGAUGGAGCAUAACUUUAUUUUUUUUUCUUUCAUAACCAUGCCUUUCCCUCCUUCUCUCUUUUUUUUUCAAAAAGUAUAUUAUUUUCUUUAGGAGAAGAAAGCACAUGAAAGCAUGGAGAAUUUAUUUUGAUGGUAAUAUGGAAAUGGAAUGGAAUAUUGCUUAGCUCCCAGUGUAGGAGUUUGGCAUAUGCAUAUAUGUGGGUGUAUGACCUUGAUCAUAGAGCAUGAGAAGUAUCUACACAAGUCACAAGAGUUUGAUAGAGUUCAAUGGAAUGACAAGCAACCAAAAUGUAUAUGGUUUAAUCAUGAUAGCAUAUUUUUGGCUCUGGUAGGAAUUUAUAUCAAAUGAGGAACUUUCAAAUUUAUUAGUUUGAAAAACAAAACAUCCGGAAUUCAAGUCAAACUAGUAUCAGGAUCAUAGUAACUCUUAUUUACUAUCUCAUAUCUCACAACAACCUAGACUUAGAUCAGCAAGUGCAGCCCAUUUACCUGAGGUUCCCGGAUAAUUGUUGGCUACUUAUAUUUAACCUUUGAGAGAGUAUUUACCAAGAACCCAUAUAUCAGAGAUAUAAAAUAGAGCAACUAUUUAUCAUUUCAACAAAGAGAACUAGCUUGUCUUACCUAGCUUGACUCAAACCUAUCCUAUCUUUUUGGUAUUUUAUAUUUUGCAAAUUUUUAUGUUGUUUUCAAGUUUUAUAAAAUGCAAUUGGAAAGGGAAAUAUGCAAUGUGAUACAAGUUACCUCAAUAGGGGGGAGCGAUGUCUCCCCCCAAGCUUGGCUUUCGCUCAGGGUCCUUGAUAAGGAUUGAACCCCCGAAAACGGAAGUACGCUUGAAGGUCAUCGUGCUUUUGCUGCAUCAUGUUGUUGUUGUUGGCGAACUGAGCAUUAGCAGAUUGUUGCCAUUCUUGCGUUUGAGCUAUGUGUUCCGUGAGGUUGUACUGGAUCUCCCCCGUCUGCAUAUCAAGGGUGUCCAUUCUCUUAGUGAUUUCACCCAAGUCCCAACGAGAGGAACUCGAGCGCCAUUCACUUGGAGAUGGAGGCACACCACUUGAUCUGGGAGGUUGAUUGUCCCCCCAUUGGAUGUCAUGAGGCGCAUGCCACCGGUCCUCACUGGCGCUUGUCCAGGUUGAGAUUCCGAUGCUAUGGCGUGGAGCUUGGGUCCACCCGGGUGCAUCCCAGUUGGUGCCCAACCUGCAUCAUACAUCUGCACGGGUGUUGAGGAUGAUGAACUUUCUUGCUCAUUCCUUGUCAUGUUGCGCGUCUCCCUGUAUGUUCCACCUGCACGAGAUUCUUCUAUGGUCUGCAGGGGAAUGGUUACUUCAUGGCAGUUGUACAAAUGAUACCCCGCAUUUGGCAACGGGAUUUCAUUUGUACAACCGGGGAAAAAGUAUAUCAAAGAUCCAUCUGCUCCAUGUUUCACAAUAUGCCCUUGCACUAGAUAAGCCUCAUCAAUACGCGGACGAGCGGCUGAGAUAAAAGCAAUUUGGUCGCUAACGACCCCUAGCCCUUUUGCUAUCCGAGUAAUCAGAGAAGUGCACUAAACAGGAGCAGAGAACUUUAUACUUUCUAACCAUUGCCUUAUCAUACAUUUCACAGGAGCAAUUUUGAUUUUUCUAACCAUGGCAAACAUGAUAAUUAAUUCAUCCCCUAAUGGGUAUCAGAUCACCUCUAGGAAACAAAGUCAUAGCAAUCCAUUUGUACAUGAGCCUAAGUGUAGGAUUAUGGAUAUCAUUCGUUCUAGGUUUCUUGCAAAUUGAAGCACCAGAAAUGUCUUCCCAAAACCUAUUUUUCUCGAACCCAGAAAUUCCUUUCCGGAGAUCGAUUUUAUAGGAAUUGUGAAAUCCAAGAAGUGUACUCAAGCCUUUCCAUGUGAGUGUGAACUCCUUACGAAAAAAGUGAAAAGAAAUACCAUAUUCUAUUUCUUUCAAGUGCACAGAAAUUGCAAAGUAAGCAAAUGAGAACCAGGCUCAUCUACCACAGCAAAUCUCUUCCAACCAAAAACUUUCCAGAUAGAACAAAAUUCAACAUCCAUACCUAUCUUUUUUAGCAACUCCGAAGAGUAUUCUCGCGUGUGAGCAUACUCCCGGUCGCUCAGCAUGUAGUAGGCUUGUCUCUCCCGAUCACUGACAAGGUCGAGGUCGGUGUCGUUCAGGAGUCAUCGCGGAACUUUGGCGUCUUCCAUCAAGACAUCAGCUGAUGAACGAGUACUAGACUCAUCAUGAUGACUUGAUGAAGAGCCGGACCCUUUGAAUAGACGAGACAGUCGCCUCCUCAUACUGCACAAUGGAGCAAAAGUGGACUAACUCGGCGGGGGUUAGAAGUGACAAGAAUUUCACCUGCCAGUUAGUUUCACCAAAGCAACUUGUAUAUAUAUGCAACUAAAUUUUUGAAUUUGAGGGAAACUAUCAAAGCUUGAAUGAACUUGAGAGCAAACUUUGGAGCGGGAAUGAAAAUGUGUUGAAAUGGGAUGGAAUUCCCUCUCCCAGCCGACUGGCUUUUAUAGGGUGCCCACAACGGUCAGAAAUGACAUGUGGGACCUACUAGCCGUUACCCUGCCAAAAGUGGCAGGGAGCCGUUGCCUGGCCGGUUCGGCCGAACCAGGGUGUUCGGCCGAACCCCUGGUGGGCCCAACCAGCCCCACUUUUGGCCGUUGGAUUCCAACGAUCAGUGUGGUCGUGGCACAGUAAAUUUUCGUUGAAAAUUUUAUUUUGGUUUGCUCUGAAAAAUUCAUUUGAAGAAUUUCCUCAAAAUUCAAAAAGCCUAAAUGCAUUUUGAAAUUCAAAUAUGUGAUGAUGCAAGAAUUCAAAUUGUUGAAAGCAAAUAUGCGGAUACAUACCAAUUUACCUUUUGAUGAAGGUCGCAUCAUUUUAGGUCCGACGUGCAAGACCGUCCCUCCUUUCGGUUCAGUGCGCGGAUUUUCCACCCGUCUCCGGAGGUGAUGGAGCGGGCGUCUUUGGUUUUCCUUCCACACCUUCUUUGGUUUUGGUGCGGAAGACGGCUUCUUCUGAGCCGGUUGCUCUAACUUCUUGGCCGGUACGGGUGAUUUUACCGGCGUUUUCCAAUAACGGUUCCUGGGCAUCGUUGUUUCCUUCUCCAGGAAGUUCUGCAUAAAUUUCACCAGGCUGUCCGUUUUGGGUGGCUCCACUUUAACCACUUGAAUAUUCUGCGGGUUCGACCCGUACUUUAUUCUGACCAUGGAGCAUUGUUCCGUCCUUGGUUGAAACUCAAAUCUUUCCUCCUUGCCAUUGAUAUGGAAACGGAUACUACUCGUUCCCACAUCGAUGUUGGAUCCUGCGGUGCUAAGGAAUGGACGCCCCAGGAUGAGUGGCGUCUCCUUCCCCGUGUCCAUGUCUAGCACCACAAAAUCAACCGGGAUGAAGAAGUCCCGUAUCUUGACUGGCACAUCCUCUGCUAUCCCUACCGGGUAACGGACUGAUGAGUCAGCCAAUUGGAGGUACAUCAGUGUUAGUGCCAACACCGUGAAGUUGAGCUUGUCGAAGACGUCUUUUGGCAUGACGCUGAUGCUGGCUCCAAGGUCACAUAAGGCCUGGUCGAAUUGUUGUGCCCCGAUCGAGCAGGUGAUCGUAGGACACCCCAGAUCUUUCUUCUUUUCCGGGAGCUUAUGGAGUAUGACGUUGCUGCAUUGUUCCGUUAGCUUGACCACCUCCAUUGUUGGGAGCAGUCUCUUGUUGUUGAGUAUAUCUUUGAGAUAACGGGCAUAUGUCGGCACUUGUAUAGCGUCCAACAACGACACGUUGAUGUGGAUCUUCUGGAUCACUUCAACAAAACGAGCGAACUGCUCGUCCACUGACGGUUUCCUCAUCCGUUGGGGAAACGGCAGCAACCGUGUGUCACAGUAUUCCUGCAGCACGGUCUUUUCUGGCUGAAUCUCCUUGUCAGCCGAGUCAUUAGAUGGCGCUUCUUUUGACAUCCCAUUAGUUCCUGCAGGGUUAGGAUAUGGCGGAUCACGAGUGGACUUACCUCCCCUCGUCGUGAUCGCCUUGACAUUUUCAAUGGAGGAGUCGGGUUGCCUCGGAAUCCUCCCAGUUUCAUUUGCAGGGACUAAAGAUGCUAACUGAGCUAACUGGGUUUAUGUCAUUUUGUUAAAGCUCAGCUGAUUUUGAAAGGCAGAAGCAAAGCCAUCUAACUUGACAUUAAUGUUCUCUAGGACCUUAUCAUUGGCAGCAAGUUUUUUGCUUAAUCCAUCAGUGGUUUAAGCUUGCGCAAAAAUGAGAUCCUUCAGGGAGGGCUGGUUAGAGAAGUUACCGUUAUUGUUACCUCCUUGAUAAUAUGGGCGUGGUUGGUUCCACCCCUGACCUCCUUGUGGACGGUACCCGUUGUUGUUGCCCAUGUACAUCGCCUCCUCACGGGUUUCCGGGCAGUCAUUCCCAGAAUGACCCGUGCCGCCGCAGACCUCACACGUGACGUGUGAGUCCAAGGCCUUGACGGUGCCUUGUGGCCUUUUCUCAUGGUCGUCCAAGCGUUUCAUGAGGAGGUCCAGCUUGGCAGCAAGUAGCUCUGUCUCCUUGACGGUGUGUAUGCCUCGCUGACGGGUCUGGAGUCGUUCCUCGCUCCAACCCAUAUUGGAGACCAUCUUCUCUAUCAGUUCAACGACUCCUUGAACCGUUUUAGAAAAGAAGGCUCCUCCAGCCGUAGCGUCCAGGUGAUCGCGGGACAUUGGGGUGAGUCCAUUGUAAAAAUUCUGCAGGAUCAGCCAGUCGUCCAUCCCAUGAUGAGGACAGGCGGCCACGUACUCCUGCAGUCAUUCCCAUGCUUCGGGAAUAGACUCGUCCCUUGUCUGCUGGAAACUGGAAAUCCUUCCAUGAAGGGCAUUGGUUUUGCCCGUCGGGAAGAAUUUCGAGAGGAAUGCCGUAGAGCAUUUGUCCCAGGUGUUGACAGCAGCAUGGUUGGCAUAAAAUCACUACUUUGCUCUCCCGAGAAGGGAGAACGGAAAUAGCCGCAACCUGACGACGUCGGGACUGACACCCUUAAUGGUGUACGUGCUACAGAUCUCCAGGAACUGUUGCAGAUGAGCAUUGGCAUCCUCAUUAGGCUUGCCAUAGAACGGGCUAGCCUGUGCCAUCGUCAUGAGGCUGGACUUCAAGUCAAAAUCCACGUCCCCUAUGUUGACCUGCGGCCCAAUGGCCACAUUGUCAGCAGAGGGAGCAGCGAACUCGCGAAGAGUCUUGCUGGCCAUAGUCUUGAAGGUCGGUGGCACUGGUAGGGCUGGUUUCUCCGUUGGUAGAGUUUUCUGCGAAGCAACGACUCGCGGCCUGACGCUCGGAAGAAAGCUUCUGGAUUUUCUUUGAAGUUUUCCGGCAGGUUGAAACCUGUCAUGCACUACCCUGUUUUCACAACAAAAAGUGAAAACAACCAAGGUUAGCCUGCAAAGGAAAUGAUUAUAUAGAUGUAAAUAUAAAGUAUUAGUUCAAGUAAUCUCUAUUAUGAAUCUUCCCCGGCAACGACGCCAGAAAUGCUUGUUGGUAUUUCUUAAUGACAUUACUAGAAAUAUAAUUCCCAGCAAUGGCGCAGAAAUACUUCUAGUAUAUUAUGGUUACAGAGUUCAUCCGCAAGCGCAUGGAUAUACCAUUUUAGCAUUUUACCCGAGAGUAUUCCAAGGGUAUCGUAUUUAUUUUAUCCCGUGGGAAGAUAAUGUAGAGAGAGCUUAACUAAUAGUUUAUAUAUUACUUUGUGAUAAUCAUAUUCUAAGUAGGGGUUAAGAUAAUACAAGAGUAGAGUGAUACACAAGCAUUACUACUCAUCCUCAUAAUAAAUUAUCUAAGCUAGGUGGAAAGAAAAGACAAAGAAAAUAUAUUCCUAUACUUCUAAUAUACAUAGUAUACAUACAUUCUAGUUAACUGAUAUACUAGCUAAUACCCUCUAUCCGAUGCUCUCCUGGUACUUCGAGAAGCCACCCCUGACUGCUGAGUUCCUUACGAUAGCCCGUCAUGACCAUACAACCGGGGCUAAAUACGGAGGAAUACCCUCCCCAGGAAAUUAACUUAGGAUUAUAUACCGGCGCGGAGGAAUACCCGUACUGAGCUGUCACCAUCAGUGGCCCACCUCUCAUCCGCAAUAUAUAGCCCCAAAUAAUGAUACCUUGUAAUCUAGACACCACGUCUAAACUAUCAGAUACUACUUUAAUAUCAUCAUCAUGACAUAGAGUAAUUGUAUAUGCAAACAUUAUACCCGCACCAAAGCAUCUCCCAGAUAAGCUAGACGUAUAUUUAGUAUAACAUGAACAUAAUGUAAAGUAGGUACUCAUAUACUCGGAAAGUAUUUCAAUACCAUAAAUGUAUAUAGAAGAGUAUUCUAAUAAAAGUACAAAGCUUACAAAAGAGGAAAGGAAAGCUGUUAGAGCCAUACCCAAAGUCUUCCGAAGGCUUCCAGACUCCUGAUUUCUACUCUAUUCCUAUUCCACCAGCUAGAUACUACUAAACUAAACUUGAGAGAAAUGAGAGAGCUAUUGCUUGAGGUGUGUGAGUGAAGUGAGGAUGAGAGCUCCUUUUAUAGCCUCCCAAUGACGGUUGUGACUGUUGGAAUGGUCGGUAAUACCCUCCAACCGCCACUGGGGAGCCAUCUCAGCCGUCCAGGAGAACCCUGGAUCAAACGGAGCUGCGGGAGGUUCGGCCGAACCACCAGGUUCAGCCGAACUUGGGGCCGGCCCAAUCUAGCCCAAUUUCGGCUAGCGGCCUUCUCCGUUGUUCUUCUCCUCAGACUUGUGAAUUUUGGCCCAGUUUGUCGUGUCAAUUCUGAGUUCUUGGCCCAUUCAUACAUACGUCUGGUUCUCGACAUCGUCUGAUUGAUUUAUCGUUUGAGUUGAUGUCGAUUCUCCUCCACUUUAGUGUCAUUCCCUGCAAGAGGUUAGCAUGCCUAAUACUAGUGGAAGUUUAUUAUUCUAAUACAUUUAUGCAUUGCAAGCAUCAUUAGUUAUCCUCUAUUUUGGUAAUAUUAACGGUCAAAACUGAUCGAUAACGACUGUCAAUAGCUACCAAUGACGGUUGUGGUGGUUGGAAUGGUCGUAAAUACCCCGCAACCGUCAUUGGAAGGGAUCCUAGGCAUCCACGUGCAAGGGGGAGCCAACAGCCAACCCUAGUUAGGCCCAACCGGCCCAGUUUUUGGUCGGUGUGUUGCCUGUUGAUCCAUCAGCCCAGUAGUGUGAUGGUUGGGCCUAUUUGAUAUUAUUUCUCUUAGUAAACAAAUUACUAUUACAUCGAUGGUUCUCAACAUUAAAUAUUUAUCUUGCCACAAAAUUUCACUUAGUAAAUAAAUUAAUAUUACACCGAUGGUUCUCAACAUAACAUAUUCAUCUUGCCACAAAAUUUCUCUUAGUAACCAAGUUACUAUUACAUGUUCUCAACAUAUUAUCUCUUAGUAACUAAAUUACUAUUACAUUGAUUGUUCUAAACAUAUUGAUCUUGCCACGAAAUUCCGUUCCCUAAACUAAUUAAUCCUACUGAUCACAAACAUAUAUUGAUCUCGCCACAAUUCCGUCAUCACCGGCCACGCCAAGCACCAACCCGUGAUGUGUUUGUGCUUCUAAUGGUGGCUGCUAUAACAAUACUGCCAUUUUUCAUUUAAGCAGGUUGUCCAUAGAAGUCAAAUUUGAGAACUUCAUCUCUUCCUUUUUGAAUCUGAUGCAAAAUUCCAUUGUUAACACUAAGAUAACUGAUAACCAGCAGCUACAAUAGAUAGAUUAGAACAUUUAAAACGUUAUACUAAUCCACCGAUGCAAACUACUGUGACAAGUCAUACCUCUCAUCGGAAGAUCGAAGAAGAUGCCCCAACUCGAAACAAGAACUCAUUGAGAAAAUUGAAAACAAAAAGUUUGGCGAUGCGCUGAGAGUAUAUUGAACUGUUGUUGUUCUUCAUACAAGACCCUGGGCAUAUAUUUAUACUCGUAGUACAAAACUUGUUCAUAUCGGACACGAUUCAAACUUCACAAAAUAAACACACCAGCCCAUUGUGGAUGCUAAUAUAGAUUUCUAAAACACAAAAAGGAAAGCUGACUCUUAUCCUAAUUAAUAGAUGCAAUUGCUUCUUUAGACUCUAUCCUUGUAUGGCAAUAAUUCUGAAUCCUCAAUCCGAACUCAUCAUGAACUCGAAAUCAUAUGUAUCGACUAAUCAAAUCCAACUCUAUAUCGACUGAUACAGACUCCAGCAGAUGCAUUGUUUCAUUUUGGAAACCAAACUAACUCCUUCAAAUCCGCUUCGGAUCCAUCCUUAUGUCCACGUAUCUUACCAAAUUUUGUUGUUAACAUCUAUGCUUUGUGGAUUCUGGCUAGAACAGUCACUGGUUGAUGUGUACCUGUAUAGGUAGAUCACGCAUGUGCAUGUUGUUGAUGUAGAAUCGCGCCGCCACAACUUGAGCAUGUUAUGUGCAACCCACGGAAUCACCCGGAGACGCGCCGCUGUAGGGUGUGGGUAGAGGCUGCCGAACACACACCCAGGAGGGACCCCGUUAGGGUGAAUGCGCUCUAGUUUGUGCUAGACUCGGCAGGCCAGCUAGGAUGUCCUUUAACACCGUAGAGACGAGAGGCGGCGAGCAAUUAGGGGAUUUGGGGAGAAUUUACUUGGGAUUGGAAGCAAGGAGGGAGAUGUAGAAUAUAGAGGGUUUGGAUAACUAAAUUGAUUUUGACGAUUGAGUGGUUAUUGUUUCAAUCGAACUUGUCCCCCUUAUAUUUAUAUUAGGGGUGGACUUACUUCCCAUGGUCUUUCCCACGUCCAAUUAGGCUUAGAAAUCAACUAGGACUCGAGAAAUCCCUAUUGUUGGCGGCUAUUAAAUACACAUUUUUAUACCGCCAGCAUUUGCAUAAAACUCAGAUAAUAAAACAUCCAAUAUAGUGGUAGGUGUUAAUUCUAACAUAUUCCACGAGUGUUCGUGUUUAAUUGAUGCAGGUCCUAAACCACCGAAGUUGGGAGGAAAAUCAGACUAAAGUGAAGAAGGAACAUAUCCAUACAAGGGAGGGGCUUUAGACUUCACUAAAAUACCAGAGAAUCAGCCCAAAACUCGCAGUAAUGGAUAAGGCAGAACAGGAGGAGUCCACAGGCCAAAAUUGAGGGCCAGAUGGGCCAGCCCAGAACCCUGAUCUCCACCGUUGAUCCUGGGGUUUGGAAGGGAUGCUCCUGAUUUGAUCCUAAUGGCGGUUGGAGGGCACUUUGGACAAUUCCCGUUCCACAACCGUCAUUAACUGCCUAUUUAAGGAGCUUCACUCAUUCACUUCUUCACACACUUCCAAGCUUGAGCUGAAUUAUAAGAGGCUCUGUUGUACUAUUUUGUAUACUAGAAUUAGGAAGAGAGUAGAGUAGAAGAAGUCGGAGGAAUUUCGGAGAUGUCGGUAAUCCUCUCAUGUUUAUUUUAUUCUGUUAAUUACUCUGUUUUCAAUAGAAAUAUCUUUCUGAGUAAUUUAGAUUUACUUGUGAGUACUUGUGAGAAUUACCUCUUAUAAGAAUUAUUGUUCACUAUAAUCGACUAAAAUAUAGUGAUUGCUUUAGUGAGUUAGAAACACUAAAGUAGAUAUUAAUUGCUCAGACGUGGUGUUUAGGUAAUUUAUAUCCAGUAAUUGUUGUGUAUCCCACAGUACGUUUGAGGUGGGUGUAGAGGUGGUGACAGCCCUCAAGAGCACUUAAGUCCUCCCUGUCAGGGUAUGUAGUAGAGCGACAUCUAGGAACAGCGGGUUGCCAGUGUCUGAAUUAUCGCGUUAGGAUUAAAAUUAAACUUUCCUUAGACAAUGUUUCUCACUAGGAAAUCCUCUCUAUCCUUUGCGCAUCUUAGCUUGGUGUCCUUGGGUGAACCUGAUAAGGAAGUAAUACCCGUUGCCUGUGGAAAUCGAUACCUAAGAAUAAUCCCAGGUGAAGUGCUGCAUUUGUGACGUUAAGAAAUACCAACACCGAUCUAAAACAAGGAAAUACGAGAAAUACCUAAAUUGGACUCUGACUCUAUGCUGAAGGUCUGACCACCCGGCGGUCUGAUCACAGCUCAUUGUCCGGUCUGACCAGCCACACUACGGCGGUUAGACUGGCCUUCGCGGGAAUGACUUGGUAGUUUCCAAAUUUGGCUCAAACUAGCUAUAACAUGACCCGUGUCAAAUUUGGUUACUGCCUAUAGAUCAUGUGACAGAUUUUUUAGCCUCCUAUGAUGCACAUUUCUUACCCUUUAAAUCAACAUCUAACGGAUGACAUUAAUAUGCACAAACAAAAUACAAAAAACAAACAAACGAGCCACGUGGACAAUCUGAAGCUCAUGGGGCUCAAAUGGGCUCAAGUAGAUUUCAAACUUACAUCGUAAAUACACUAAAAUUAUAUAUGUAAUUUUCAGACUUACAUCGUAAAUACACUAAAAUUACAUAUGUAAUUAAUAUAUAAUUAUAGUGUAAGUACGAUGUAAUUAGUACGCGUGGGAUCAUAAAUAAAUUAGCAUUGAAAAACACGUACGGCUAGUUUAACAACAGGGAACAGUAACGUGGACCUAGUUAAUUAGCAACGUGGACCUAGUUAAUUAGCAGCUAGAUGCUAGCACGGAUCUCAAAAACCAUAUCCUACGGCAAAAAUGCGAAUGAUGGAAGGCUCAUAAAUCAGUCAAACGAUAGUUAGCAAUUCCGUUCUAAAUUUGGCUCAAACUAGCUAUAACAUGACCCGUGUCAAAUUUGGUUAUCAACACAUGUAUAGCUCGGAUGGAGGUGGGUUGAUCGAUCUUAUCAGGUGAUUGAAUCGUCAUACAUGCAAAACAAAGCAAUCAUGAAAAUCAAUCCGUCAGUAAGCUGAAAGAUAUAGAUGCUUCAUAUAUCAAUGUAUUGUGUGUGAUUAAGUCAUGCAUGCCGGUUGAAUUACACAUGCACACGAGUUAAAUCGUGGUUGCCGGCGGCUCCGCGUGCGAUUAACGUUAAUAGGUUGUGGACACAACCCGUAGACCUGCCUUGUUCCCAUGAUGAGCGUGACCCGCACCGGCGUGUGCAUUGAGUGCAUCAAGGAGCACGUCGGGCUGACGCACUGGGAUGACGACCACUCAUCUCGAUCUCAGCUAGCAUUUGAAAACAAGAAAGUAACAGGAGAUCAAUCUACCUUUAGAUAUCAAUCUAAUAGAAGUUAGAUUGGAAUGACAAACCCAGGUUAGAGAUUUGAGCCAUCAAACUCGUUGAGAUUGAUCUCAACACUUCUCUAGAAGUUGAUUCUAUCGCACUUCUCGACAACAAACUCGACGCGACCGCUACCUAACGUGCCAAACUAUCGAUUUUGGAAAUUGACAAUGAUAAGGGGGUAGGGCACGAGACCUAAAAGUGGAUAGAUGCGAAAGACGAGAGUUUAGACAAGUUCAGGCUCUCUGAAUAAGAGGUAAUACAUUACUUUUGUUUGGGGAUUGUAUUGGUCCGAUGAUCUGACUGUGGCUUAUGUUGCUAUACCCUUUAAGGUCUCCCUACUCACCUUAUAUAGGUUAGGGGCAGGGAUACAAAUUAAAGAGAAAAACCUAGCCGGACACGAUACAGUUUGCUAAUCUAUUACAUGGUAGUACUCAAUCGGGACUCUAGGUCCUACAAUAGAACACAAGGCAACAUUGUGACCGAGCCAUACUUUAUCUCUAUCUCUACUAUUAUAAAAAUUGAAGAUUUUUUUGCUAGAAUUUUAUAUUUAUGUCAAAUCCUUUCCUUUUUUCUUACGCCAGAGUGUCCCUCUUAUCUAAGAUGCGUGCAAAUUAAUUAGGCCCGUAGCAUUUCACGCGCCCCUUGCCACACACGGCAAUCGGGCCCGUGCCUGAGAAUAUUUCCACAGGCGCCUUUGCACGGCAACGCCCUCGCGCGCAUGAUUUGCCUUUGCCGUAUGUCCGAUUGGGACUGCGUCGCCCUCACCCGUGAUUUAAAAUUUUUUUUCUUUUUUGUGAAAACUAUGGUACGUCGCCUGUAUCUGAUUCCGUUACGUGUAACAUUCAUUGCGAAGUCAUGACUCGCGAGCGAACUGCGAAAGAAAGUCCGUGUCGUAGAGUCCAUGUGGAUAUCACAUACGCCGUUGCCCAGAUUAUCCAAUUCUAUUCAUAUUACACGACACGGUUCCUGGGACAUGUUAGCAUGAUUUCAAGUCACUCUCCACACAUGCUCGUACGUACUACCAGAGAUACCGUUACAAUAAUCCAGAAUCAGUUUUACUUUUGAAAAGAACACGCCAACCGAAAUAGAGUAUGAUCGAAGUUGCUGAUUCCAUCCGUCAUCAAUUCCUGCCCGACUUGAGAUAAAGCUGGGCAACAAAUCGAGCUCGUGUUUGAAGGCCUCAUUGUUUGGCUUAUGCUUAUUCCUAUAAGCCAAGUUUUAAAUUUUAGAACGUAAUUUUAAAUUUGACUUUUUGGUUUUUUUAUCGUACUUUAUUUUACAGUAUUUGCUUUUGAGUCGCUAAGAACUUGUGUAUGAGAGAUUUGCACACAAAUAGUCUUUUAUUUUGUUGUAAGUGAUUCCGAUAAGCACAUGAAUAAACGAAACAAUGGCCGCCGACACAUGUACAAAUUAAAUUGGCUCAACCCGUUGUAAUGCACGGGCAUCUUUUCUAGUUAUAUAAUACAUGAAUCCAGCCCACCUCCUAUCUAUAGUCGGAUAUGCAGACCGUAUGGGUACCGGGUACCCAUAUUCUCCACGGAAGAUGACAAUGGUGGCAAUUUCAUCUCUUGUGCUUGGACUGCGAUAAAAAGAAUAGUUCGCUGUUCUUUCUCGAGAAAAUCCAUGAAAUGCAAUUGACAAGUGUCCUAAUCGAAGAAAUGCCAUUGACGAACGCAACUUCUAGAAAAUGCCAUCGUACGAAUUAACUUCUCCCAAAAAUGCCACUACCGUUUGGUUUCUGUUAAUUCCACUCCGUUACACCUAUUUAUUUUUUUUUAGAAAAGCCCAAAGUGCCCUCAGUACAUACUAUACUUACUCUAUCCUUUAUUUCUUUUUACCUAGUAAAGACAAAUUCGACAAAAUGGAAACAACACCUAACCCUAGCCCCGAUCUAGGAGGAAGCUGAUUGGAUCCCGGCGGCACCGCGGCGCUCCCGACCAAUGAUGGCAGCGGUGGGGUGAAUCCUCACGGCGACGGCGGCGUGGGUCUCCCAGCCAGGGCUACGUUGGGCGGUGGCGUGGGGGGGGGGGCGAGGCUGCGAUGCUGCGCUCCUAGGCGGCGGCAUGGGGGCGCAAGGAGGUGCUAGGGUGGCCCCAGACAAUGGUGCAUGGGCCCGAGGAGGAGGUAGGGCCACUCCAACCGGCGGUGGAAGUGAGGCUGGAGGCGGUGGCGCCUCACUCCCAGGUAGUGAUACGGGGGACGCAGGCGACAGCACUGUGGUCCCUGAAGGUGGUCAUCUGCGAUAUAUUAUCCAGAAGUGAGGAAAUCCAAGUUUCUAUUGUCAUUGACAAAAAUUGGUAUAGGUCCAUUUACCCACUGAAAUGUGUUGAUUUGUAAUGAUUCAAUUAUGAAUAUAUGAUUAUUGAUGUUUGUAAUGAUUUUAUCUUGAUGUGAAGUCCUGUUUUUUUCAAGGUUCACUUUUUUAGAGUUCUGCUUGUGCUGUUCUGAGCAUAGUGGUGUUCAUGUGAGUUCAUGCCUAGGUAUUUGGCCAUUCCCUUUAGUUCCUGACAUUCAAUAAAUUUAGACAAAUUUUGGUCUAGAACUCGAAAAUGAGUUCCUAUAUAAUUGUGCUACUAUUACAUGUGUGUGAAAAUUGAAAAUAUCAUAAUGUCUCAUUUUUAGUUUUAGUAAGAAUAUUACCUGGUGCAAAUAUUACAAGAGAAAAUCCACUCUUUACCAAAGUAUCAUACAAUAGUUUUGCAGAUACAUUAUGUAGCAUUCACAUGGGGCAAAUGGUCUUUUCACCAUGUCCAACGGAGUAUAGCUAAGGGAGUAGUGAUGGUGAUGGCAUUUUUGGGAGAGGUUGAUUCGUACGAUGGCAUUUCCCGGAAGUUGUAUUCAUCGAUGGCAUUUCUUAGAUAUAGACGGUUCUGUUUUGUUCUAAGCGAGCUAUGCUGUGUUGAGUCUCCAGCGUGUAGUUGUAUCAGAACCCGGUAUGGCUUCAGUAAAGCUGGGUCGUGUAUGCCUUUUGUCAAAAAAAAAAAAGAAGAAAAGAAAAGAUGAGUUGAAUUGAAAAGUAUCAUUUAAUAGCUCAAAAAGUUUGCAUUUAACUUUAAAGUAUCGAGCUGAUUCCUCCAAAACACACCAAAAAUAUGGAUAAUUAUAACUGGUUGGCUUUUUGCAUAUACCUAGCGGCCUUCAAUCUUCUUUUUGCAGCAAAGACAAAGCUAUUCUUUUUCUCUUUGUUUUUUCCUUUUAUUCUCUUUCUUGCUCACUUUUGCUCAUGCUCACGUGCCCCUCAGUACUAACUUCCCUCCGUCCUCUCGCAAAUUAAGCACUUUCCUCUUUCCUUUGCAUCCUGGUAAUCUUUCCUUACUGUUAUUGAAAGAAGACAAGUUUUAGCGCAAAUGAACUGAUGGGUUCCUCCUUUUCAUCUCGUUUGCAACUUCCUCAGAUUCCUAAAUUGCUUGAUCUCAGCCCUCUGCCUCCUUGUGCACUGGCAUUUACUGUAUCUAGCGUUCCUGUUUCUUCCUUUUCCAGCCCCUUGCAAGGAUCUUUCCUGCUUCCUUUACUGAACUGCUUAUAAGCAUGCACAUCGCACUGUCGUUCUGUCAUAUCCAUUCCCUCCCGUGGACAUCUCCGACGAGCCUAGGCUGCUGCUGCUGCUAGUAUGCACAACUCUUUCUCCUAUUGUUUUGUUUUGAUUGUUCACAUCACCCUCAAGUCUGAGAGCUAGCUGACCAAUCUCUAGUUCUGUUCAAUGCUCAGGGGUUCAUCAGGAAAACAUGGGUUUGCAGAGGAAAAUCAAAAUUCUAGCCAAGAGAACCAUCCAGGAGGCGCAAGCUGUAACCCUACAUCCCGCGAAGACGAAGCGGCCCCGUUCAGAGGAGGAAGAAGAAGCAGCAGCUUCGACGCCAACAGCUCUCUGUGGAGGAGGAGGAGGACUUGAAGGUGCUCUGCACUGCCCACCGGCGCCGAAGAAGCCGAGGCUUGUGAUGGGUUGCAGCCUGAACGGGUUCAAGGUUCUGAGCGUCGUGGAUUUGCGUUUCUUCCUGCGUUGAAGCGGCAGCUAGCAUUGUUUUUGUACAGGCAAGAGUUAGCAUGGUGCCUGCUUAUGAAUGUUUGUGAACGUUGACAUGGAACAAACAGAUUUGCUUUUUAGUUUUUUUGUCUUUUCUUAACGGAAGCUAAUUUCACUUCUUCCCCAUCUCCAUAGCUCAAUUGGCAAGUUGACAGUAGCCAGUAGUUCUUAGGGUUCCGCAAAAAAUUUGUUCGCCCAACUGUUUGGACAUGAUGAAAAAUCGCCGAUAUUCACGAAAUUCAGACCAUGCCAAAUAAUUUUUCUACACUGGCGAGUAAGUACUUGUUUAGCUCAGCCUAAAAAGGAAAAAGUCUAUGUACCACAUAUACUUGAUAAAAGUUUAUCUAGCAUCGUAAAAAAAUAGGCUGUGUUAGGGAGGUGAAGUUUGGAACUCACCUCCUGCGCACGUAAAACGGAACAACGCAUUUUCUUUGAUUAAUUAAUUGUUUAAUAACUUUUUUAAAAAAUAGAUUAAUAUGAUUUUUUUAACGUAACAUUCGUAUAGAAAAUUUUUACAAAAAACAUACCAUUUAGCAGUUUAAAAAGCGGGCGCGGAAAGAACACUGCUAACUAAUGUAGUAUGUUUGCAUAUCGUCAAUCAUAUAGUAUAGUGGCUUUUGGAUAGUAGUUUUGGGUAUUUGGAACCUUAAAUCAGCAGUUUUAAAUAACUAAUGUAGCAUGUUUACAUAUCGUCAAAUCACAUGUGACCAAUUUAUACUCCAUAGUAUUGUCAUACUAGAAUUAUAUGGGCAUUCUUUUGUAAGCAAUUAAGAGCAAAAAGUUGGGGAAACAGAAGAUUUCGCUGAUGAUUUUAACACAUAUGUCCAAAUUCCAAUGCAUAUGUCACCUAGUUAAACUAAUCCAACAUAUAUGUAAAUUAGAUAAAAAUCAUUUUGUAAAAACUACACUAGGGUGCAAUAUAAACGAUAUUAUAUAGUAGUUCGGAGGGCUGGAUAUCUCAUUUCAAAGUUCAAGCUGCUAGAUAGACUUUCAAUAAAAAAAUAUGUGUAGGGAUGAAAAUAGAUUGAAUCUAUUAUGAAACAAGAUAUAUGAUCUCAUCCAUAUAUAUGGAUGGAUCGGCAACCAACUCCGGGGCACGGUGGUGCCCCACGUCUUCAGGCCCUCACGCACUCCUGCCAACAUGCCUCUCUCCCCCAUAUAUAUUGUAAACCCCGUGAUCAAUGAGGCUCAAUCUCUCUUACUAUUUGGAACAUUGAGUUUGAGAGGAGAGAAGAGAAGAUUGAGAAGAUACGUAAAACGAGGUGAGCCAUUAGCGCAUAAUUAAUUAAAUAUAAAUUAUUUUAAAAAUUAAAACUGUAUCAAUAUGAUUUUUUGAAACAACUUUCAUAUAGAAAUUUUUUUUUAAAAAAACACACCAUUUAGUAAUUUGGAAAACGUGCUCGCGGAAAACGAAAUAACUUUCACACAAUGUGCUGCUGCCGAACGUUAAGGAGAUAUCCUGAGGUCGAGAGUUCUGGCUUCUCUCGCCCCCAAGUUAAUUUUCCAGAAAAGGGAAAAACCUGAUAUUUUUGUAAAAAAACAGAGGAAAGAACCUUUCUCUACCCGAGAAAUCCAACGCUGUCUUGUCACUUUUCAAAUUUGAUCUCUCUUCAAGCACACGCACUUUCAUUUGUAGGACAUUUGGCGAGACUCCCACAUCAACAAAGAAUCGGUUAUGCCUGGUGGCUGAACCAUACUGUAACCAUUGCGAUACCAGCAGCCCAGUUCUCAGCGUGCCUUGUAGUCCAUACAAGCAUAAUGAUCACACUGACUGAACUGUAUCCACUGGGCAGAAGAUUACGGCCCGGGUUAGAGCCCACCCUAAAAUUUUACAUCCUAUCACAUGGAACGUUUGAACAUCAGCAUGAAGUAUUAAAUAGAGGAUAAAACAAUAAUUAAUUGACAGAUUGUGACUAAUUUGUGAGAUGAAUCUUUUAAGUCUAAUUGCUCCAUGAUUUGACAAUGUGGUGCUACAGUAAACAUUUGCUAAUGACGGAUUAAUUAGGCUUAAUAAAUUCGACUCGCGAUUUACUGACGGAUUAUGUAAUUAGUUUUUUUAUUAGUGCCCGAACACCCCAUGCAACACCCUAUAUAAUACCCGAUGUGACACGCCAAAACUUUACACCCCUGGAUGUAAACACCCCCAAGAUCUAAACACCCCCUACAUUGUUUGUGUGUUCAGUUGUUUCCAUGUGAAAGCAGGGAAAAUAAAUUCUCGUUCACCUUUUAUGCCAAGUUGCCAACACUACUUAAAAAAAACCCUCAUACAUACCAGCUCAUAAUACCAACACCUAUUAAACCCUCAUACAUACCAGCUCAUAAUACCAACACCUAUUGACCGUUCUCACCUCCAUGGGAAGAAAAAAAAUACAAAACCAACACCUUUCAACAACUAUAAUAAUAUAUUGUAGGUAUCGGUUCUUAGAGAACCGACACCUCAAAAAACCUGAAACGAGCCACUACUUAACCCCACCAAGUCCUCGCGCAUCUGCUCCAUCCUUAUCCUCUCUCUCUCUCUCUCUCUCAUCCUCUCCUCCCUUUGCGCCACAUCCAUCUCCACCGCCCAUCACUGCAUCUAGCGUCGCCGCCCGUCGUGCCACUGGAUCUAACGGCGGCAACCUCGGUGCGGAGAGGAACCCUGGUGGAGACCUCGGCGCAGAGAGGGACCCCAACGAUGACCUCCACAUCGCUCCUCCGACGGUGACACAAAUUGGCAACGACAGUGGGACCGGGGAGAGUGAGUUCAUCUUGCUUGUGUAGUUCUUGAUCUUGUGUUGUUGUUGAUCUAUGAUCUGUGAUAUGUGAAAGAUGGGGUGAGGAUUUUUGUUGUUGAUCUGUGAUGGAUGGGAAUGAGAAUUGUUUGUUGAUUUGUGAUUUGUGAAGGAUGGGAUUAGGGGUUGCUUGAAGGGGCGGCUCCAAAGCAUCUCCUCAUCAAGCCGAGCCGAUGGUUGGAGCCAGCUUCUCCUUUUUUCUUUGAAAUGGGGAGAGCACAAAGGUGCCAGUUCUACAACGGCACCAAUGAAAUGGGGAGAGCACAAAGGUGCCAGUUCUACAACGGCACCAAUGACUUAGCAUCAUUGGUGUCAGUUGCGAAACCGGCAUGUAUGCCAAGUUUGCAACCAGGUGUUCUGCAGUAGUGCAACCAAGAUCGAGUUCAUGUGCUAGCAAAAAAGUAACGAUACUUUGAAACGGAGGAUUGAGAAAACACGUGAAUAGAAAAAAAAUGAGGAGUAGAAUGCCACACUUUUUAGAUUCCUAUAGUGUUUCGAAACACUGAAAGGUUUAAAAUUGUUGUUUGAAUGCUCACAUGACAAACACAAUAAUUCUAUACACAUGAAGAAGAAACACCAGAGGUAAGACCUCAUGCGUAAUUUCCUCAAAAAUGUUCUAGAAUGAUCCAUUCCAUAGGAUUUUUAAAGGAAUAGGUAGAAAAUAAUCAUUUUGUUUCGAAAGGAUCCAUUCUCAUAUGAAAUUCUCUGGAAUUCCUAUGAUAUGAAAUUCUCUGGAAUUCCUAUGAUUUUGCUCUGUUUCGGAGGGGCCUAAAUAUCUAGCCAAUGGUGAUUUUGGUUGCACAUUAGAUAAGGAUUUACUCCCAACGAACUGAUAAUACUUGUCAUUUUAGAGAAGGGUUAGAUCAAACUUUAGAAUCAUUGAUUAUGAAUUAUUUUUAAAAUAUUUAUCUUUCAAAUAUGGUGACUAUAUGUAUAGAUUAGUUUUAAAAAGUACUUUCAUAAAAUCAUAUAUUUGUUAACAAUUUUAUACAUAUUAUAAUAAAAAAUAAUGAUCAAAGUUAUUUUUUUGAAGACCGUGCCCUUAUCUAAACGACAAGUAUUAUCAAUCCGGAGGAAAUAGUUAUUUUGAUGUGGAUUAGUUAAUCAUUCGUGGUGCGUGAAUCAUGUUUGAUCUGUUUUUUUAUUUAUGUAGGGCCCUCCAUGGUAACUACUACUCCACCGUGUUUAUAUUACUAGUGUCAUGCACAUGUUUUAUAGGGUUCUGUCUUUUAUAUCUUGUGUUUUGGUGGGUUGUUUUUUUUGGAUGGGCUGGUUUUUUCGGGUAGUUUUUUUAUGUGGGGACUACAAUAGUGGGGACGAGGACAAUGCCUCUUCUUUCAAAGGUAAAAGAAUAAUCGAAUAUUGAGCAAUCAAAUUCAGUUAGUAGAGAUAAGUCAUUUAGGGUUUAUCCUAAUACAAACUUUUUAAAUUUAAUCAUGUUUAUUUGUAGAAAAGUUAGUAGCAUUUACAACACAAAAGAAAUAUACUAAGGAAAUAUAUUUACGAUGAAUUUAAUAAUAUUAACUUGGUAUUAUCGAUGCUACUAUAUUUUUGUAUAAAGUUAGUUAAAAAUGAAAAGUUUAACUUAGAGAUAACCUAAAACUUCUUAGGCUGAGUUUGUUUGGGUGAUAGGGAGUGAGAUGCUUCGCUACUUAAUUAGGUAACAUUAGGCGGUUUUACAACUCUAGACUUUGGGAUAUUCAUAUCACCUGGACACUUUGGAAUUGUUGGAGUAUUGUGGAAUUGGAUUCACACCGCCCCCUCUAUUCAAAAUCCCCAAAAUGGUUUUAGGCUGGGCUCGGGGUGCAUGGUUUUGAUAGUAGCACCUCGGCCAUAUAAGGACCGGUCUUCGGGCCUCUGUUGCAAAGCACUACCGUACUUCCACAUGUCUAGUGGGUAAGGCUUACUUUGUGGCUCAGUCUGGUUAUAAACAAAAGUACACGGAUGGAGAUGGACGAAGUCGGGGGUCGAUGGACAUCUCCAGGGCAAAUGAAGGCUACACGAGCUGCGGCCCGGUAGUCGAGAUGUCGUGGCACAGGGCCGGUGUCCUGCUGCUAGGGGCUCAGUCCUGCCUGCCUGUCCCGGGGGUUCCGGCCGUAGGUGGGAUUGGGUCGGUACUCUUGUCUAUGGCUAGGAUGGGUUGGAAACUAUGUCAUGUCUUCCGUCCGUAUACCAUGGUGGUAUGUGGCACGUGGUUACACGUGAGGAAGAUGUGUCUUGUGGGUAAAGAUGUACACCUCUAAUCAGAGUAUAAUCUAUUCGAAUAGCCGCGCCCUCGGUUAUGGGCAAGCCGAGCAAUGUACCCAAAUUAGUGUUUUAAUUCUAAAAACCUGCUUAACAACUAAAAUGUGGAAUGGUUGGCCUGGGUUGGCUUGGGACGAGCUGGGACCCAGGGUCGGGUUGCCGGUUCGGUCUGAAUCAUCGUAGGCCUUGGGUUAAGGCAGGUUCGUGUGGGUUCAUGGCCUUGAUAAAUAAUAUUGCAUAGUUCUAGAAUCGUGUUUACAAAAUAGCUUUGAGCAACUAAGCAUCUUUAAAUGCUGUUUACUGCAACCCUAACCCUUUAUAUUAUAACUCCCUUGUACUCCCUUGCAUUUAUUAUGCACUUGUGGGUGUGUCUUGUUGAGUACGGUGGUUGUACUCAGUCUUGCUCAAUUUUUCCCAACCCAGAAGAGGAGCCCCUGG
RNAcentral lists this long non-coding RNA (26022 nucleotides) under Oryza sativa (Asian cultivated rice). RNAcentral's name for it is "long non-coding RNA (OSAT_LNC000340)". The stretch from base 10195 to 10301 matches the Rfam family "Plant small nucleolar RNA R71". Lineage: Eukaryota; Viridiplantae; Streptophyta; Magnoliopsida; Poales; Poaceae. The record is from RNAcentral.